UCUAGUUGAUAAUCUUAUUUGUAAAAGGUUUAAAAAAUAAAAUAAAAAUAAAAAUAACCAAAUAAAAUAUAGGGUGGGGUUUGUGUCAUGCAAAUAUGUGGGGUACUGCCUCCUGAGUCUGGUAAGCCCCGCCUCCGUAGUUCAAAAGGUCGGAUUCUCAUUUGGGCUCUUACAGCAGUAACUGAUUUUCGCGAGGACAUCUCUUUCUCUCGGUUAUAUUAAAGCGGCCUUGUUUUAUUUUUUUCAAACAAUGGACUCAGGACUCGCUGGUAAGUUAUUUUGUUUGUUUUAUAUGUUUUAUUUAUCAAGAUUGAUUUACCAAGUUAUCUUCAUUUGUAAAAACAGUCUUAUUGUGUUUUUAUUUUUAACAUUUAACAGGCUUUUAAAUGUAUAUGUAUACGAUGCAGGAAUUUUUAAAACGCUGCCCACCUACUGUACCAACAUUUUGAUCAGAUCGACCAACUUUUGAAUUCUACUUUGAUAAAUGUUGAAGAGCAAAGCGACACUAGGAACAGCGAUCUGCAAGUAAAUGCCCCAGCAAUAAAUGAGGGUUCUCAAGGCGUUAAUGAGGACUGUGAACUGCAAGAUGCCGCAUUACUAGUCACACAACCAGGAUUUGUACCACAGAACACCUACAAAAUCUUCAAGACUUAGUCUUAGUCGGAAACGUAAGCAGACCCGUUCUAUUAACCGUGAUAAAAGGGCAUGCCCGGACAAUACACUAGUCUCUGAUGUGCAACCUCGGGAUACCGCCACAGAUUUCAUUAAAACAGUUGAUUUCUAUACAGAAAACCUGUUAGGAGCUGGAGUUGUCACAAAUUCAUGGUCUGCAGCGUUGGCAAGGGCCUAACGGUGAUGCGAUAGUACCGGUAGCUACUACCGUACUGACAUCGUCUUUGGACUCGCAG
Molecule: long non-coding RNA, 908 nt
Organism: Misgurnus anguillicaudatus (oriental weatherfish)
Lineage: Eukaryota; Metazoa; Chordata; Actinopteri; Cypriniformes; Cobitidae
Source: RefSeq, a predicted model, not a curated record